This is a small nuclear RNA of Eptesicus fuscus (big brown bat), 133 nucleotides long. RefSeq annotates it as U11 spliceosomal RNA. Lineage: Eukaryota; Metazoa; Chordata; Mammalia; Chiroptera; Vespertilionidae. The record is from RefSeq and is a predicted model, not a curated record. The transcript has a single exon.
AAAAAAAGCUUCUGUUGUUUGUGGCACAUGUGGGGCAGCUUGAUUGCUCUAUCUGGGGAACUGACAUCAAGAGAUUUCAGAAGCAUGAUUUUUGGUACCGAGGUAGCUAGUGAUCGUUGGUCCUGGCACCCGC